CACAACUCCAGGGUGCCCAUGGUCAGACUAGAGGAAGAAGAGGCAGCCUCCUCCUCCUCAGGCACAGGAUCCUGCCCACCCACCAGGCCAGGGGUCUCUCCUUGGGCCUCACGGCCUUCCUCAGGCAUGUAGUGCUGACUCCUCUGCCCAAGAGGCAUGAUGACUCUGGUCAGGGCAGCAGACGGGAGUGUGGGCAGGAGCUGGGUAAUGGGGAUCCACAGGUCUGGGAAGAGAGGGAGCGUGUGAGAGACCUCAGCUAAGAACCAAACCUUGGAGGCUCUAACAAAUGCCUAUUUAUGGAUUUUCUCCUUCAGUGCUCCUCUAGGGCCUCCUUGGGUUCCUGUCCUCCUGGUCAGCCGGUCCCCUGAGAAUCUGAAGAGAAGUGAGACAGCUCCUGAGGUUACAGCCAGCCAGCAGAGGCCAAGGCUCCAACACUGAUGGUAGGGCCGGUGGGGCUGGGCGCUGUGGAGUCCCAUCCAUUAUGGGUGGGUGGGACCCUUGGUAUACAUUCAGGGUAAACACCUCAACUUGACUGCUGACACUGCCUGGGUCUCCUCUGCUCUGUGACUUGAGGACACUGACUCAGACUAAAGCCUCACCUCCAAGUUCCUGGAGCUCCUAGAAGAGGAAUCAAGGGGCCCUCAGGGUGCAGGCUGCAAGCACUGCCUCAGUCCCCCAGCACUGUCAGGAGGGUGGGCUGGACUCUGUCAGUUCCCCCACUCAUUUGCAUAGAUGGUCCCUUCUAUGCUCACCCAGGGCCUUCACAUUUCUCCUAGCAGGGCCUGAAUCCUGCCCCUUUGCUGGCCUGAGAAAAUCUCAGAUCAAGAGCUCAUAUCCCUGAUAUGGAACAGAAGGGCAUGAGGGGACCCACAUCUGGCCACACCUGCUCAAGGCUUCACAGCAAGGACAGUAAGAGGUGGCCAUAUUCAGAGCCUGGGUCCACUUCCCUCUGCCGAUCUCAAGCCGCCCUCAGACCGAGACCCUCGCUUCUCUGACCCCUAGGCGUCGCAGCCGGCCACCAAGCCUGGGGCUUCCUCGGGUUGACUGCAGGUGUUGUACCGGAUUCUGCUAUGAGUGGGGGUGGAAAUGGGGGUGGGGGUCGUGAGGG
This 1108-nucleotide long non-coding RNA is filed under the name Macaca mulatta (Rhesus monkey). RNAcentral's name for it is "lncRNA (ENSMMUG00000040071.2)". The record is from RNAcentral. Lineage: Eukaryota; Metazoa; Chordata; Mammalia; Primates; Cercopithecidae.